UGGCAGCCUGUGCUCUGGGAAACACAGCACUCCGGAGCUGUUUGGGAAAUUUUCUCCUGCUGUAGGCAGUGUUCCCAUGAGGAGAUGGCUGUUCAUUACCUGACCAAGAAUAGUUCAGCAUGGAGCAGGACCAGAAAAGACUCUGAGAUAAAGAUUUUCAACACUUAAGGGGAAGGAUUUAGGACAUUUAUUGCCUUAACUGUUUGACUGGAGGUCCCUUUCAUGGCUUGACAGUGCUGUGCUGGUAAAAUGUUCUUCCACCUCCUUAGCACACAGUCGAGUAUGUAAAUAAGUGUGUAAGUGAAUAAAUAAACAAAUAAAUAAAGUUUGCCUAAUAAA
This 339-nucleotide long non-coding RNA is filed under the name Parus major (Great Tit). RNAcentral's name for it is "lncRNA (ENSPMJG00000016240.1)". The record is from RNAcentral. Lineage: Eukaryota; Metazoa; Chordata; Aves; Passeriformes; Paridae.